Molecule: ribosomal RNA, 477 nt
Filed under: uncultured bacterium
Lineage: Bacteria
Description: partial 16S ribosomal RNA
Rfam family: Bacterial small subunit ribosomal RNA
Source: RNAcentral
GACGAACGCUGGCGGCGUGCUUAACACAUGCAAGUCGAGCGGAAAGGCCCUUCGGGGUACUCGAGCGGCGAACGGGUGAGUAACACGUGAGUAAUCUGCCCCUGGCUUCGGGAUAGCCACCGGAAACGGUGAUUAAUACCGGAUAUGACCACUUUACGCAUGUUUGGUGGUGGAAAGUUUUUCGGCCAGGGAUGUGCUCGCGGCCUAUCAGCUUGAUGGUGAGGUAAUGGCUCACCAUGGCUUCGGCGGGUAGGCGGCCUGAGAGGGUGACCGGUCAAACUGUGACUGAGACACGGCCCAGACUCCUACGGGAGGCAGCAGUGGGGAAUAUUGGACAAUGGGCGGAAGCCUGAUCCAGCAAUGCCGCGUGAGGGAUGACGGCCUUCGGGUUGUAAACAUCUUUCAGUACCGACGAAGCGCAAGUGACGGUAGGUACAGAAGAAGCACCGGCCAACUACGUGCCAGCCGCCGCCGUAA